Molecule: ribosomal RNA, 493 nt
Filed under: uncultured Corynebacterium sp.
Lineage: Bacteria; Bacillati; Actinomycetota; Actinomycetes; Mycobacteriales; Corynebacteriaceae
Description: partial 16S ribosomal RNA
Source: RNAcentral
CACGUAGUUAGCCGGUGCUUCUUAUCCAGGUACCGUCACCACAAGUGGCUUCUUCCCUAGCGAAAGGAGUUUACAACCCGAAGGCCGUCAUCCCCCACGCGGCGUCGCUGCAUCAGGCUUGCGCCCAUUGUGCAAUAUUCCCCACUGCUGCCUCCCGUAGGAGUCUGGGCCGUGUCUCAGUCCCAAUGUGGCCGUACACCCUCUCAGGCCGGCUACCCGUCGUCGCCUUGGUAGGCCAUUACCCCACCAACAAGCUGAUAGGCCGCGGGCUCAUCUUGCACCGAAAAAACUUUCCACCACACACACUAAAGCAUGGUCCUAUCCGGUAUUAGACCCAGUUUCCCAGGCUUAUCCCGAAGUGCAAGGCAGAUCACCCACGUGUUACUCACCCGUUCGCCACUCGAGUACCCCUUGCAAGCAAGGAGCCUUUCCGUUCGACUUGCAUGUGUUAAGCACGCCGCCAGCGUUCGUCCUGAGCCAGGAUCAAACUACU